GAUGAACGCUAGCGGCAGGCCUAACACAUGCAAGUCGAGGGGCAGCACAGAAACAGCAAUGUUUUGGUGGCGACCGGCGGACGGGUGCGUAACGCGUAUGCAACCUACCUUUAACAGGGGGAUAACGGAGAGAAAUUUCCACUAAUACCCCAUAACAUCGAUCAAGGCAUCUUGCUUGGUUGAACACUCCGGUGGUUAAAGAUGGGCAUGCGUUGUAUUAGGUAGUUGGUGAGGUAAUGGCACACCAAGCCUACGAUACAUAGGGGGACUGAGAGGUUAGCCGCCCACACGGGUACUGAGUGAGUGACCAGAAUCCUGCGGGAGGCAGCAGUGAGGAAUGUUGGUCAAUGGGGGGAACCCUGAACCAGCCAUGCUGCGUGCAGGAAGACGGCUCUGUGAGUUGUAAACUGCUUUUAAGAAGGGAUAAAGCACAGUAUGUAUGCUGUGUAGAAGGUACUGUAAGAAUAAGGAUCGGCUAACUCCGUGCCAGACGCCGCCGUAA
This 502-nucleotide ribosomal RNA is filed under the name uncultured bacterium. Its description in RNAcentral is "partial 16S ribosomal RNA". It matches the Rfam family "Bacterial small subunit ribosomal RNA", at positions 28 to 523 of the family's 1533-position model. The record is from RNAcentral.